This 443-nucleotide ribosomal RNA is filed under the name uncultured Anaerolineaceae bacterium. Its description in RNAcentral is "bacterial SSU rRNA". It matches the Rfam family "Bacterial small subunit ribosomal RNA", at positions 925 to 1378 of the family's 1533-position model. The record is from RNAcentral. Lineage: Bacteria; Bacillati; Chloroflexota; Anaerolineae; Anaerolineales; Anaerolineaceae.
ACAAGCAGCGGAGCGUGUGGUUAAUUCGAUGUUACACGAAGAACCUUACCUGGGUUUGACAUAGCAGUGGUAGGGAAGCGAAAGCGGACCGACCUUCGGGGAGCUGUUACAGGUGUUGCAUGGCUGUCGUCAGCUCGUGUCGUGAGAUGUUCGGUUAAGUCCGCUAACGAGCGCAACCCGCGUUGUGUGUUACAAGUGUCACACAAUACCGCCGGUAUUAAGUCGGAGGAAGGUGCGGAUGACGUCAAGUCAGCAUGACCUUUAUAUCCAGGGCUACACACACGCUACAAUGGUCAGCACAAUAGGUUGCCAAGUCGUGAGACGGAGCCAAUCCUCCAAAGCUGGCCUCAGUUCAGAUUGUAGGCUGCAACCCGCCUGCAUGAAGUUGGAGUUGCUAGUAACCGCAGGUCAGCUAUACUGCGGUGAAUACGUUCCCGGGGAUU